Molecule: long non-coding RNA, 286 nt
Organism: Mercurialis annua (annual mercury)
Lineage: Eukaryota; Viridiplantae; Streptophyta; Magnoliopsida; Malpighiales; Euphorbiaceae
Exons: 3
Source: RefSeq, a predicted model, not a curated record
ACCGCUGCAAUCACGUUUCUUAUCUCAUAAACCUAAAUUUUUGUUCUCUUUAGAACAACCUCUAGCCGCCAUUCUUCAAGUUUUUGAGAUCAAAUCAUAAUCAUUCAUCAACUCUUGCUUUCAUUAGCUUCAUUAUAAUUCGAUUGUUCUUCGUCGAUCCACACCAACUCAGCGAGCUCUAUCAUCGCGACGUUUCGAAAUUGAUUAAGACCCGUCGACUGUUCGUACUUCAGAGGCGAACCAGAGUUAGAUUGCUUGUCAGGAUCACGUGGAUUUAGCAAGCAGU